CCAAAGCAUCCAUGGAUCAGUGUAAAGUUCUUCCACCAGGCGUCAGAUGUGCUACACGCUGUAAUCCCAGCCAUGGAGAGGUGUGGGCAGAUGUGCUGCAGCUGUAAUCCCAGCCGUGGAGAGGUGUGGGCAGAUGUGCUGCAGCUGUAAUCCCAGCCGUGGAGAGGUGUGGGCAGAUGUGCUGCACGCUGUAAUCCCAGCCAUGGAGAGGUGUGGGCAGAUGUGCUGCAGCUGUAAUCCCAGCCAUGGAGAGGUGUGGGCAGAUGUGCUGCAGCUGUAAUCCCAGCCGUGGAGAGGUGUGGGCAGAUGUGCUGCAGCUGUAAUCCCAGCCGUGGAGAGGUGUGGGCAGAUGUGCUGCACGCUGUAAUCCCAGCCAUGGAGAGGUGUGGGCAGAUGUGCUGCAGCUGUAAUCCCAGCCGUGGAGAGGUGUGGGCAGAUGUGCUGCAGCUGUAAUCCCAGCCGUGGAGAGGUGUGGGCAGAUGUGCUGCAGCUGUAAUCCCAGAAAGCACUGGCUUUCUUCUCUGCUGCAUCUCUUCGCUCUCUUGGCUCUCCUGACUCUCUAACAAGUCUUGUAUUGUGACCCACAGCUAUCACCUACCAUGUUUCAGUCGUGAACUGUCCUGUUAGCAAUUUUUUUUUCUAGUUCUCCCUGCCUCAAUGCAACAUUCUGAUGAGUGAAAGAGAUGUGAUAGCACUUUGUAAGCCAGACAACAUGGUAUGGCUUUAAGAUACUUUUAGAACAAGAUAAAACAACCUUGGAGAACCACUGUGCAAAUUCCAAGGAAGAAAAGGGAGCAAGAGGUGGCAGGCUAGCCCACAGGUAACCUGAAUGCAAAGAGCU
Apodemus sylvaticus (European woodmouse) is the source of this 841-nucleotide long non-coding RNA. RefSeq lists it as uncharacterized. Lineage: Eukaryota; Metazoa; Chordata; Mammalia; Rodentia; Muridae. The transcript has 4 exons. The record is from RefSeq and is a predicted model, not a curated record.